GCGCGCGCACCUCCCUGGAGUUCCGCGGUCCCGCUCCUCCUGCGCUGCUGCUCAGGCCAGGCUCGCGGGGUCCGUGGUGGCGUCCUCACCGUCGGCACCCGGAGCUGAAUUCUGCUCGCGGAGCGCCAACAGGGCCCUCGGGGACGGUGGCGGCAGCCGGGGCUUUUUCCGCACGGUCAUCGAUCAAGUCAUGAUUUCCAGAACCCGGUCGCGAAAGACCCUCCUGGAUCAGCAAAUCCCCGGUCUUGGGCCGCGCGUCCCGGCAGCCCGGAGCUGCGCGCCCCCGCGGGAGUUUCUCCGUGGCAGGCCGUGCUUCCAGUGCCUGGCCCUGCUCCGGAGGCCAGCAGUGCCGCCCCUGCCGCGACCCCGCACGGCCCUCGCAUUCUCUGGGCAGACCCACCGCCUGGCGAACAGCCCAUGGUUCGGACAGGAGAGGGAGGCACGGACUGGGCAGGAAGCAGAGGAACAUCGAGGGCACCACGCGUGACUGCGACACACUGGCCAUCCUGCCUACGUCACCAGGAUCGCAUCCUGAGGAAGGCUAGAGGCCAGCAGCCAUGCGGGCCAGCCAGGAGUUGGACCGAAUUUUGAUCUGGUGUUGACCAUUUCUUCCUUUUUAAAAAAUAACUUAUUGAUCUCCUUUUCUCCUUUCAAAAAUGAUGUUUAUUGUAAGAACUUUUAAAAUUACAGGUAAAAAAAAAAAAAGAAAAAUCACCAGUAAUUCUUCCAUCCCGAGACACCUGUUGUUAGUAUUUGCUCUUUAUCUUCCCUUUUUCUGUGCAAUAUAUUGAUGGGCUUUGUUUUAUUCGCAAAAAAAUAAUCAAGCCAUCCAUACA
Pteropus alecto (black flying fox) is the source of this 836-nucleotide long non-coding RNA. RefSeq lists it as uncharacterized. NCBI's taxonomy places the organism in Eukaryota, Metazoa, Chordata, Mammalia, Chiroptera, Pteropodidae. The transcript has 2 exons. The record is from RefSeq and is a predicted model, not a curated record.